ACCUCUUACUGAACUCCAAGUUUUAAACCUAUAGAAUUUGAUCUAUCAUCUCCGCCUUUGAAACAUUAUCAAUUUGAAGAUAUAGAGACUUGAAUUGAGAGAUAUAAUCUUGCACUGACCUAGCUUAUAUAAGAUUUGCUAAGUGAUCAUGCUAUCUUCUCCACAUUGAUGGGCCAAAAUUGAUUUUUAAACUUGGUCUCAAACUCCUCC
Molecule: long non-coding RNA, 210 nt
Filed under: Physcomitrium patens
Lineage: Eukaryota; Viridiplantae; Streptophyta; Bryopsida; Funariales; Funariaceae
Description: long non-coding RNA (PPAT_LNC002312)
Source: RNAcentral